GCUGCUCUGGGAAGGGGGACCAGGAGCACAAGAAGCUGGGGACUGUCACGGAGACACGACGGGGACCCAAGCUCAGAGCCAGGCGGCUGCGGCUGGGCUGCGUGGGAAGGUCGUGACUGAUGUGUGCAGGGCAGCAGGACAGGUGUCGAGCUCCGGUGGGUCCCAGCUCCCACCCACCUCUCAGCUCAGGCGUGGGCAGUUCUCGGCUGGCCUACGAUUCCCCUCCUCAGCUGCGUCCCUCGUCCUCCACCCCGGCUCCCAGGCCACCACGCGGGCCGUCAGCCUCGGGCUCACAAACAGGCCUUGCUGACUUAUCGACCAAGCAUCCUGCGCACCUGCUUCUCUGCAUGACGGCGAGCCUCACGCCCGCGCGACUGCUGCCGCCCCAGCCUUUUGCACCCCCCUCCGGCACCUCAGGCAGAACCAGCCACACCCUCCUCGUGGCAGCAUCUCCAGAACGGCACCCACCCCACCGGGGACCUGCCUGGGUGCCCAGCCCGAGCCCACCCUGUGUGAAAACAUCACCUGCUCCCCGCUACGCCCGCAGAAGCAGCAGCAGUGACGAUGAAGACACUGGCGUCUCGCCUGUUGCCACUGCACCCCAGCACCGGGCGUGGGGCCACAGCCUACCCGGGUCAGAACCCCGACACCCCAGCACCGGGCGUGGGGCCACAGCCUGCCCGUGUCAGAACCCCGACACCCCAGCACCGGGCGUGGGGUCACAGCCUACCCAGGUCAGAACCCCGACACUCCAGCACUGGGCGUGGGGUCACAGCCUACCCGGUCAGAACCCUGACACUCCAGCACUGGGCGUGGGGUCACAGCCUACCCAGCCUGCCCAUGUCAGAACCCCGACACUCCAGCACUGGGCGUGGGGCCACAGCCUGCCUGUGUCAGAACCCCGACACUCCAGCACUGGGCGUGGGGUCACAGCCUACCCGGGUCAGAACCCCGACACUCCAGCACCGGGCAUGGGGUCACAGCCUACCCAGCCUACCCGGGUCAGAACCCCUGCUCACACAGCUGCAUCCAUCUGCCCAGUGAACACCCCGUUGGCUCGGGUCCAGGUGCUGCCUUGCCUCACCUGUUCUUACUCUCCCGUCCUCAUUCCAGGAAGUCUGGCCAAAGAGGUGCCUGGGAUAGACAGGGCUCCCUCCGCCUGGUGGGCACUUUAG
This 1175-nucleotide long non-coding RNA is filed under the name Oryctolagus cuniculus (rabbit). Its description in RNAcentral is "lncRNA (ENSOCUG00000036288.1)". Lineage: Eukaryota; Metazoa; Chordata; Mammalia; Lagomorpha; Leporidae. The record is from RNAcentral.